GUGCCAGCCAGCCGCGGUAAUACGUAUGGGGCUAGCGUUGUUCGGAAUUAUUGGGCGUAAAGGGCGUCUAGGCGGGGGAUUAAGUUAGGUGUGAAAUCCCUGGGCUCAACCCAGGAACUGCAUCUAAAACUGGUUCUCUUGAGUUCGGGAGAGGAGAGCGGAAUUCCCGGUGUAGCGGUGAAAUGCGUAGAUAUCGGGAAGAACACCAGUGGCGAAGGCGGCUCUCUGGCCUAGAACUGACGCUGAAGCGCGAAAGCGUGGGGAGCGAACGGG
This 273-nucleotide ribosomal RNA is filed under the name uncultured bacterium. RNAcentral's name for it is "partial 16S ribosomal RNA". It matches the Rfam family "Bacterial small subunit ribosomal RNA", at positions 505 to 776 of the family's 1533-position model. The record is from RNAcentral.